This 1003-nucleotide ribosomal RNA is filed under the name Colepidae sp. aPFT1. RNAcentral's name for it is "SSU rRNA". It matches the Rfam family "Eukaryotic small subunit ribosomal RNA", at positions 192 to 1224 of the family's 1831-position model. Lineage: Eukaryota; Ciliophora; Prostomatea; Prorodontida; Colepidae. The record is from RNAcentral.
GCGGAAAGGUUGUAUUUAUUAGAUAACAAACCUCUAUCCUCACGGAUAAAGUGAUGAUUCAUAGUAACUGAUCGGAGCGCGACGCUGUUGCGCUAAAUCAUUCAAGUUUCUGCCCUAUCAGCUUUCGAUGGUAGUGUAUUGGACUACCAUGGCAGUCACGGGUAACGGGGAAUUAGGGUUCGAUUCCGGAGAGGGAGCCUGAGAAACGGCUACCACAUCUAAGGAAGGCAGCAGGCGCGUAAAUUACCCAAUCCUGAUUCAGGGAGGUAGUGACAAGAAAUAACAACCUGGAGUCUCACGACUUGCGGGAUUGCAAUGAGAACAAUUUAAACCUCUUAACAAGGAACAAUUGGAGGGCAAGUCUGGUGCCAGCAGCCGCGGUAAUUCCAGCUCCAAUAGCGUAUAUUAAAGUUGUUGCAGUUAAAAAGCUCGUAGUUGAACUUCUGGGCGUUCGGAGCGGGGUCAAACCAGCUCAUGGGCGUUCAUCCGUCUGAGAACCAUAUUCGACCUUCACUGUUCGGUAUGGGAAUCAGGCACUUUACUUUGAAAAAAUUAGAGUGUUCCAGGCAGACAUUUGUCUUGAAUACACAAGCAUGGAAUAAUGGAAUAGGACUAAUAUCCAUUUUAUUGGUAUAUUGGAGUUAGUAAUGAUUAACAGGGACAGUUGGGGGCAUUAGUAUUUAAUUGUCAGAGGUGAAAUUCUUGGAUUUAUUAAAGACUAACUUAUGCGAAAGCAUUUGCCAAGGAUGUUUUCAUUAAUCAAGAACGAAAGUUAGGGGAUCAAAGACGAUCAGAUACCGUCCUAGUCUUAACCAUAAACUAUUCCGACUAGGGAUUGGUCGGGUCUUUUAAGCCCGAUCAGCACCUUAUGAGAAAUCAAAGUCUUUGGGUUCCGGGGGGAGUAUGGUCGCAAGGCUGAAACUUAAAGGAAUUGACGGAAGGGCACCACCAGGAGUGGAGCCUGCGGCUUAAUUUGACUCAACACGGGGAAACUCACCAGCGC